GGUUAAGCGACUAAGCGUACACGGUGGAUGCCCUGGCAGUCAGAGGCGAUGAAGGACGUGCUAAUCUGCGAUAAGCGUCGGUAAGGUGAUAUGAACCGUUAUAACCGGCGAUUUCCGAAUGGGGAAACCCAGUGUGAUUCGUCACACUAUCAUUAACUGAAUCCAUAGGUUAAUGAGGCGAACCGGGGGAACUGAAACAUCUAAGUACCCCGAGGAAAAGAAAUCAACCGAGAUUCCCCCAGUAGCGGCGAGCGAACGGGGAGCAGCCCAGAGCCUGAAUCAGUGUGUGUGUUAGUGGAAGCGUCUGGAAAGGCGUGCGAUACAGGGUGACAGCCCCGUACACAAAAAUGCACAUAUUGUGAGCUCGAUGAGUAGGGCGGGACACGUGGUAUCCUGUCUGAAUAUGGGGGGACCAUCCUCCAAGGCUAAAUACUCCUGACUGACCGAUAGUGAACCAGUACCGUGAGGGAAAGGCGAAAAGAACCCCGGCGAGGGGAGUGAAAAAGAACCUGAAACCGUGUACGUACAAGCAGUGGGAGCACGCUUAGGCGUGUGACUGCGUACCUUUUGUAUAAUGGGUCAGCGACUUAUAUUCUGUAGCAAGGUUAACCGAAUAGGGGAGCCGAAGGGAAACCGAGUCUUAACUGGGCGUUAAGUUGCAGGGUAUAGACCCGAAACCCGGUGAUCUAGCCAUGGGCAGGUUGAAGGUUGGGUAACACUAACUGGAGGACCGAACCGACUAAUGUUGAAAAAUUAGCGGAUGACUUGUGGCUGGGGGUGAAAGGCCAAUCAAACCGGGAGAUAGCUGGUUCUCCCCGAAAGCUAUUUAGGUAGCGCCUCGUGAAUUCAUCUCCGGGGGUAGAGCACUGUUUCGGCAAGGGGGUCAUCCCGACUUACCAACCCGAUGCAAACUGCGAAUACCGGAGAAUGUUAUCACGGGAGACACACGGCGGGUGCUAACGUCCGUCGUGAAGAGGGAAACAACCCAGACCGCCAGCUAAGGUCCCAAAGUCAUGGUUAAGUGGGAAACGAUGUGGGAAGGCCCAGACAGCCAGGAUGUUGGCUUAGAAGCAGCCAUCAUUUAAAGAAAGCGUAAUAGCUCACUGGUCGAGUCGGCCUGCGCGGAAGAUGUAACGGGGCUAAACCAUGCACCGAAGCUGCGGCAGCGACGCUGAUGCGUUGUUGGGUAGGGGAGCGUUCUGUAAGCCUGCGAAGGUGUGCUGUGAGGCAUGCUGGAGGUAUCAGAAGUGCGAAUGCUGACAUAAGUAACGAUAAAGCGGGUGAAAAGCCCGCUCGCCGGAAGACCAAGGGUUCCUGUCCAACGUUAAUCGGGGCAGGGUGAGUCGACCCCUAAGGCGAGGCCGAAAGGCGUAGUCGAUGGGAAACAGGUUAAUAUUCCUGUACUUGGUGUUACUGCGAAGGGGGGACGGAGAAGGCUAUGUUGGCCGGGCGACGGUUGUCCCGGUUUAAGCGUGUAGGCUGGUUUUCCAGGCAAAUCCGGAAAAUCAAGGCUGAGGCGUGAUGACGAGGCACUACGGUGCUGAAGCAACAAAUGCCCUGCUUCCAGGAAAAGCCUCUAAGCAUCAGGUAACAUCAAAUCGUACCCCAAACCGACACAGGUGGUCAGGUAGAGAAUACCAAGGCGCUUGAGAGAACUCGGGUGAAGGAACUAGGCAAAAUGGUGCCGUAACUUCGGGAGAAGGCACGCUGAUAUGUAGGUGAAGUCCCUCGCGGAUGGAGCUGAAAUCAGUCGAAGAUACCAGCUGGCUGCAACUGUUUAUUAAAAACACAGCACUGUGCAAACACGAAAGUGGACGUAUACGGUGUGACGCCUGCCCGGUGCCGGAAGGUUAAUUGAUGGGGUCAGCGCAAGCGAAGCUCUUGAUCGAAGCCCCGGUAAACGGCGGCCGUAACUAUAACGGUCCUAAGGUAGCGAAAUUCCUUGUCGGGUAAGUUCCGACCUGCACGAAUGGCGUAAUGAUGGCCAGGCUGUCUCCACCCGAGACUCAGUGAAAUUGAACUCGCUGUGAAGAUGCAGUGUACCCGCGGCAAGACGGAAAGACCCCGUGAACCUUUACUAUAGCUUGACACUGAACAUUGAGCCUUGAUGUGUAGGAUAGGUGGGAGGCUUUGAAGUGUGGACGCCAGUCUGCAUGGAGCCGACCUUGAAAUACCACCCUUUAAUGUUUGAUGUUCUAACGUUGACCCGUAAUCCGGGUUGCGGACAGUGUCUGGUGGGUAGUUUGACUGGGGCGGUCUCCUCCUAAAGAGUAACGGAGGAGCACGAAGGUUGGCUAAUCCUGGUCGGACAUCAGGAGGUUAGUGCAAUGGCAUAAGCCAGCUUGACUGCGAGCGUGACGGCGCGAGCAGGUGCGAAAGCAGGUCAUAGUGAUCCGGUGGUUCUGAAUGGAAGGGCCAUCGCUCAACGGAUAAAAGGUACUCCGGGGAUAACAGGCUGAUACCGCCCAAGAGUUCAUAUCGACGGCGGUGUUUGGCACCUCGAUGUCGGCUCAUCACAUCCUGGGGCUGAAGUAGGUCCCAAGGGUAUGGCUGUUCGCCAUUUAAAGUGGUACGCGAGCUGGGUUUAGAACGUCGUGAGACAGUUCGGUCCCUAUCUGCCGUGGGCGCUGGAGAACUGAGGGGGGCUGCUCCUAGUACGAGAGGACCGGAGUGGACGCAUCACUGGUGUUCGGGUUGUCAUGCCAAUGGCACUGCCCGGUAGCUAAAUGCGGAAGAGAUAAGUGCUGAAAGCAUCUAAGCACGAAACUUGCCCCGAGAUGAGUUCUCCCUGACUCCUUGAGAGUCCUGAAGGAACGUUGAAGACGACGACGUUGAUAGGCCGGGUGUGUAAGCGCAGCGAUGCGUUGAGCUAACCGGUACUAAUGAACCGUGAGGCUUAACCUU
This 2904-nucleotide ribosomal RNA is filed under the name Escherichia coli. RNAcentral describes it as "23S ribosomal RNA". It matches the Rfam family "Bacterial large subunit ribosomal RNA". The record is from RNAcentral. Lineage: Bacteria; Pseudomonadati; Pseudomonadota; Gammaproteobacteria; Enterobacterales; Enterobacteriaceae.